AUUGUGGACCAGUUUCCAUGUUUAAGAGACAGCCAUGGCACAGGAUAUGACGCCUGGUUUACCCGCGGAAGACAACACAGGCCAGCAACUGGCUUUCUGGAGGAGCGUCUCCGUAAUGUAAGGAAAAGGCAUCAACCAAGGAAGAAGAUGCUUUCAGCCCCAGAAGCUCCACCAAAAAGAUCAAGUUUGCCUGAACCAACCAUCAGUGCUGAGCGUGCCAUCCAGAUGACAGAAUGGCUAAAAAAUAACUUCUGGCCCGCAGACCAGGUUGUCCAAUACAUGCGGGAAACUGCAGUAUAUCGCGCAGGAUGGAUCCGCUCAAGUGGGACAAUCCCAAUG
This is a long non-coding RNA of Xiphophorus maculatus (southern platyfish), 339 nucleotides long. RefSeq lists it as uncharacterized. The transcript is spliced from 3 exons. NCBI's taxonomy places the organism in Eukaryota, Metazoa, Chordata, Actinopteri, Cyprinodontiformes, Poeciliidae. The record is from RefSeq and is a predicted model, not a curated record.